This is a long non-coding RNA of Pipra filicauda (Wire-tailed manakin), 362 nucleotides long. RefSeq lists it as uncharacterized. The transcript is spliced from 3 exons. NCBI's taxonomy places the organism in Eukaryota, Metazoa, Chordata, Aves, Passeriformes, Pipridae. The record is from RefSeq and is a predicted model, not a curated record.
AGUUCUUCAAACCACUCCACGUACAGAGUCUAAGUUGUGCACACAGUAACACCGAAAUAUUUAUUCAAGAACUGAAAAAGAUUCCCACAUGGAAGUGCAUGAGGAGAGUGGAGAAAGGUUUGCAAAGGCUAGAAGAAACCUGCUACAUUUUGAAGAAAUCUCCAUCCAAAGAUGAAAGAUGCUCAGAGAAGGCAAAAACAAAUUUCUCACGAUUCAAAGAGAGUCUGAAAGAAUUCUUGAGAUGGGUGAACGAGAAGCUGGACUGCAGCAGUGACGGGAGAAGUAACUGGAGUUUGUACAUGGACGGCAAAUGCACCUGCCGGGAUCCCUGGAGAUCCUAGCAAGGCUCAGGCUAGGGAAGA